RNAcentral lists this ribosomal RNA (1485 nucleotides) under Salmonella enterica. RNAcentral describes it as "partial 23S ribosomal RNA". It matches the Rfam family "Bacterial large subunit ribosomal RNA", at positions 1335 to 2803 of the family's 2925-position model. Lineage: Bacteria; Pseudomonadati; Pseudomonadota; Gammaproteobacteria; Enterobacterales; Enterobacteriaceae. The record is from RNAcentral.
CGCCGGAAGACCAAGGGUUCCUGUCCAACGUUAAUCGGGGCAGGGUGAGUCGACCCCUAAGGCGAGGCCGAAAGGCGUAGUCGAUGGGAAACGGGUUAAUAUUCCCGUACUUGGUGUUACUGCGAAGGGGGGACGGAGAAGGCUAUGUUGGCCGGGCGACGGUUGUCCCGGUUUAAGCGUGUAGGUGUGUGUUCCAGGUAAAUCCGGUUCACUUUAACACUGAGGCGUGACGACGAGGCACUACGGUGCUGAAGCAACAAAUGCCCUGCUUCCAGGAAAAGCCUCUAAGCAUCAGGUAACAUCAAAUCGUACCCCAAACCGACACAGGUGGUCAGGUAGAGAAUACCAAGGCGCUUGAGAGAACUCGGGUGAAGGAACUAGGCAAAAUGGUGCCGUAACUUCGGGAGAAGGCACGCUGACACGUAGGUGAAGUGAUUUACUCACGGAGCUGAAGUCAGUCGAAGAUACCAGCUGGCUGCAACUGUUUAUUAAAAACACAGCACUGUGCAAACACGAAAGUGGACGUAUACGGUGUGACGCCUGCCCGGUGCCGGAAGGUUAAUUGAUGGGGUCAGCGCAAGCGAAGCUCCUGAUCGAAGCCCCGGUAAACGGCGGCCGUAACUAUAACGGUCCUAAGGUAGCGAAAUUCCUUGUCGGGUAAGUUCCGACCUGCACGAAUGGCGUAAUGAUGGCCAGGCUGUCUCCACCCGAGACUCAGUGAAAUUGAACUCGCUGUGAAGAUGCAGUGUACCCGCGGCAAGACGGAAAGACCCCGUGAACCUUUACUAUAGCUUGACACUGAACAUUGAGCCUUGAUGUGUAGGAUAGGUGGGAGGCUUUGAAGCGUGGACGCCAGUCUGCGUGGAGCCGACCUUGAAAUACCACCCUUUAAUGUUUGAUGUUCUAACGUGGACCCGUGAUCCGGGUUGCGGACAGUGUCUGGUGGGUAGUUUGACUGGGGCGGUCUCCUCCUAAAGAGUAACGGAGGAGCACGAAGGUUGGCUAAUCCUGGUCGGACAUCAGGAGGUUAGUGCAAUGGCAUAAGCCAGCUUGACUGCGAGCGUGACGGCGCGAGCAGGUGCGAAAGCAGGUCAUAGUGAUCCGGUGGUUCUGAAUGGAAGGGCCAUCGCUCAACGGAUAAAAGGUACUCCGGGGAUAACAGGCUGAUACCGCCCAAGAGUUCAUAUCGACGGCGGUGUUUGGCACCUCGAUGUCGGCUCAUCACAUCCUGGGGCUGAAGUAGGUCCCAAGGGUAUGGCUGUUCGCCAUUUAAAGUGGUACGCGAGCUGGGUUUAGAACGUCGUGAGACAGUUCGGUCCCUAUCUGCCGUGGGCGCUGGAGAACUGAGGGGGGCUGCUCCUAGUACGAGAGGACCGGAGUGGACGCAUCACUGGUGUUCGGGUUGUCAUGCCAAUGGCACUGCCCGGUAGCUAAAUGCGGAAGAGAUAAGUGCUGAAAGCAUCUAAGCACGAAACUUGCCCCGAG